CUGUACUGGUACAAGUCUGUACUGGUACAAAGUCUGAGAACAAGUCUGUACUAGUACAAGUCUGUACUGGUACAAAGUCUGAGAACAAGUCUGUACUGGUACAAUGUCUGAGAACAAGUCUGUACUGGUACAAAGUCUGAGAACAAGUCUGUACUGGUACAAAGUCUGAGAACAAGUCUGUACUGGUACAAGUCUGUACUGGUACAAAGUCUGAGAAAAAGUCUGUACUGGUACAAUGUCUGAGAACAAGUCUGUACUGGUACAAAGUCUGAGAACAAGUCUGUACUGGUACAAAGUCUGAGAACAAGUCUGUACUGGUACAAUGUCUGAGAACAAGUCUGUACUGGUACAAGUCUGUACUGGUACAAAGUCUGAGAACAAGUCUGUACUGGUACAAUGUCUGAGAACACCUCUGCACUAGUAAAUAAUCUGAGAACAAGUCUGUUACUGGUACAAAAUCUGGUAACAAGUCUGUACUGGUACAAAGUCUGAGAACAAGUCUGUACUGGUACAAUGUCUGAGAACACCUCUGCACUAGUAAAUAAUCUGAGAACAAGUCUGUACUGGUACGAAACUGAGAACAAGUCUCUACAGGUACAAAAUCUGAAAACAAAUCUGUACUGGUACAAAAUUUGAGAGCAACUCUACACUGGUACAAAAUCUGGGAACAAGUCUGUACUGGUACAAUGUCUGAGAACACCUCUGCACUAGUAAAUAAUCUGAGAACAAGUCUGUACUGGUACGAAACUGAGAACAAGUCUCUACAGGUACAAAAUCUGAAAACAAAUCUGUACUGGUACAAAAUCUGAGAGCAACUCUACACUGGUACAAAAUCUGGGAACAAGUCUGUACUGGUACAAAGUCUGGGAACAAGUCUGUACUGGUACAAAGUCUGAGAACAAGUCUGUACUGGUAUACAGUCUGAGAACAAGUCUGUAUUAAUACAGAACCUGAGAACAACACUGUACUGGUAAUCCACACUUGUUAGGUUAACUGACUGCAGUUUCAAAACUGAAAUACUGUUAAAAAUGUUAUUAACAUAGAAUCUUAAAAACCCAAUUUCUAGAGUGUCGUUUUAUAAUACAUCGAGUUUAAAAGAGUUUUCAUUUUGAAAGUGUGCAAGGUUUUCAUAAUUUUGAGUGCUGAUAUUCUUUUUUGAAAUUCACUGAUAAGGUAAUUCAUUAGAAAUGAAAUUGAGGAAAAUCAUGGUUGUUUACAUUGCUACGUAUUUUUCUUGUUUUGUUUAUUCAUCAUUAAUUUUAAAGGCUGUAAAAUUGCUUCCAAAUUGGACUCGUUUACGGAAGUUACAAGCAUUGUUAUAUAGAAUGGAGGUUUUACUGUGUUAGGUGCUACUUGUAAUAUAGCAAGCAAAAUACAAUAGCAUUUAGAAAAUAGAAUUUUAUAUUUGUUGUGUUUCACUUGUUUUCUGUUAAAGCAAAAUUUAAAUGCUCACUGCCUUGUUAAUGUUGAAGGAGACUUUAAUUGUUGAGUAGAUCUGUUUGGACAUAGCAUAUCAUUUUGAUGAAAUUUACUGUUUAUACAUGUAUAAAAUAUAUUGAACCUUUAGCCUGCUGGUGGCAAGUGAUUCUGUCUUUGUGACUGGUGCUGAUCUGCAGGCUGAUCUUGAUCGGCACUGUUUUGCUAUUCAGUCAGCUCUGUGAAAAAUGGUACUGCCCAAAUUGAAUGAAGCCCGCCCGCUUAGCUCAGUAGGUAAGAGCUUUGGUCUACGGAUCUAGGGGUCGCGAGUUCGAUCCUCGGGCGGGGCGUAUGUUCUCCGUGACUAUUUGAUAAACAACAUUGUGUCUGAAAUCAUUAGUCCUCCACAUCUGAUUCAUGUGGGGAAGUUGGCAGUUACUUGUGGAGAACAGGUUUGUACUGGUACAGAAUCCAGGAAUACUGGUUAGGUUAACUGCCUGCCGUUACAUGACUGAAAUACUGUUGAAAAACGGAUUUAAACCCAAAACAAAAAAAACAAAAACAAAUUGAAUGAUGGACAAGUCCAUUUUAGAAAAGCAGACGAAAGGUUAAGGGUUUUUAAUUAACAGAAUAGGUAGUAUCACAUUAGUAGAGUUACUAAUAUUUAUACAUUUUAUUAUACAGAAAAUCAUCAAAAUCAUUUGUUUUACUCUUUUAUGUUAUUGGUUGUGGUUUUUACAAGAUAAGUUCAUGUUAGUGAUAUGUAUUUGAUUUUUUUUUGUUACUAUAAAUUUACAUUUCUAAUGGCUAGAUGCAAUGUACCUUCUUAGUCACUUCACAUAUGUGAGUCAUCACAUCAAAAUGGACCAUCUAAAUUUUAGUUUUUUAAAGUCUUUAAUGAACAUUUUUUUUGUAGAUACUAUAUACAUUUUAUACUAUAUUCAGAUAUGUGGUGUUUUUAAUAUAGUGUAAAUAGAGAAUGUUACAUGAGUGUCUUUUCAUACUGAAUUUAUGAAGUGAGUUCAAUGAAAAAUAAUAUGUGAGGCUUUGCAAAGAAUUUUUUAUAAUUUUCAUUCAAUAAGUUUUAUAAAUUCAUUGUGGACAGUCACAAAUGUUUCUACUCUGCUUAUCACAUGUUCGCCUUUUCUGCUGUCCAGGUCAAUCCAGCCUCUGGAAUCUAUAUUUGAAAUUUUAUUAAAUUAUGUAAUACCAAAAUUAUGUAAUGGCUCCAUUUCACACCCAUGAUGUCAAAGGUGAUAAUUCUAGAAAAAAACCUUUCAAAGCCUGUGUGAUUUUUCUUUGUUAAACGUCUUUCAAUAUGUGGUCCUUUUAAGAUGACAAUAUUUGAAAUGCCAGGUUUUGAAGUACAUACAUUAUUGGAUACAUGGAUUUUGAAUACUUAAUUUACUGGAAUCAAUGUCAGAUUUACUAUUUUCCGAACAUGUGUUUUAGAGAAGAAAACUAAAAAAAAAUUCUAAUGACAUGCAGCUUGUGACACUUAAUUUACUUCAUCUCUUUCAUAGUGUGAAGGAACUUGUCUAAGUAGAAGCAGAAUAAAUUAUACUGUAAGAAAACAUGUAGAAUUUCGAUAGACCAGCAGAGAACCAUCUUGAAUGAAUACUAUUGUUCAGACAAUAUCAACAUGUGAUUAUUGUUUUGAAUACCAUUUGAUUGGAUGUUAUUUGUUUCCAAAACCCAAAUAUAGGCAAGCGUUCCAAUGAUCGAAUUAGCCCGCUGUGAAGAUGAUUGUUUGAAUGCAUUUCUAAAACACUGGACCAGCAAGUGUUCAGAUGAGUUGAUCUGCAAUAAAGGAGAACAAAUUACACAGUCUUGCUUGGUCGGGAGAUAUGGGUUAUUGUAAACCUUUGAAAAUGAAAACACACGGGGCUCACACCUCGGGCGUUAUUAUGUUUCUUAGGUUGACAAGAUCCCACGUAACACUUGCUGACUGGUUUUGUUAAAUUUUGUAGCACAUGGUAAUCUUGUAUAUUUUUUUUUGUAUUCAUAAGUUAUGAAAACAUGUUAAUUGAUUUUGUUGUUUGAAAGUUUGUUAUCAUAAAAGAUCAUGUUACAUUUUGAUUGGCAAUUUUUAGCUCACCUGAGCACGAAGUGCUCAAAGGUGAGCUUUUUUGAUCGCCCUGUGUCCGUCGUCGUUGUCAACAAUUUGACUGUUAACACUCUAGAGGUCACAAUUUUGGCCCAAUCUUAAUGAAACUUGGUCAGAAUGUUACUCUCAAUUAAAUCUUGGAUGAGUUCGAUAUUGGGUCAUCUGGGUUUAAAAACUAUGUCACUGGGUCAGAUCAAAGGCAAAGCUUGUUAACACUCUAGAGGUCACAAUUUUGGCCCAAUCUUAAUGAAACUUGAUCAGAAUGUUACCCUCAAUAAAAUCUUGGACGAGUUCGAUAUUGGGUCAUCUGGGUUCAAAAACUAGGUCACCAGGUCAAAUCAAAGGAAAAGCUUGUUAACACUCUAGAGGUCACAAUUUUGGCCCAAUCUUAAUGAAACUUGGUCAGAAUGUUACCCUCAAAAAAAUCUUGGACGAGUUUGAUAUUGGGUCAUCUGGGGUCAAAAACUAGGUCACCAGGUUAGAUCAAAGGAAAAGCUUGUUAACACUUCACAGGCCACAUUUAUGACUGUAUCAUCAUGAAACCUGGGCAGAAUGUUAAUCUUGAUGAUCUCAAGAUCAAGUUUGAAUCUGGGUCAUGUAGGGUCAAAAACUAGGUCACCAGGUCAAAUCAAAGGAAAAGCUAGUCAACACUGUAGAGGUCAGAUGUAUGACCUUAUCUUAAUGAAACUAAGUCAAAAUGUUAAUCUUGAUAAUCUAUAGUUCAUGUUCAAAUCUAGGUCAGGUGGGUUAAAAAACUAGGUCACUAGGUCAAAUCAAAGGAAAAGCUUGUUAACACUCUAGAGGCCACAUUUUUGACUGUAUCUUCAUGAAACUUGGUCAGAAUGUUAAUCUUGAUGAUAUUUAGGUCAAGUUCGAAUCUGGGUCAUGUGGGGUCAAAAUCUAGGUCACCGGGUCAAAUCAAAGGAAAAGCUUGUUAAUAGUCUAGAGGCCAUAUUUAUGACUGUAUCUUCAUGAAACUUAGUCAGAAUGUUAAUCUUGAUGAUCUUUAGGUCAAGUUCGAAUCUGGGUCAUGUGGGGUAAAAAACUAGGUCACCGGGUCAAAUCAAAGGAAAAGCUAGUUAACACUUUAGAGGCCACAUUUAUGACCAUAUCUUAAUGAAACUUGGUCAGAAUGUUAACCUUGAUGACCUUUAGGUCAAUAGGUCAGGUGAGCGAUACAGGGCCUUCAUGGCCCUCUUGUUCUUGUAUAAGAACAACCUAAGAUUUAGAAUUUAGAUGUAUUCACUGAAUGAUACAAUAAUUUGUACCACAAAAUUGAUAAUAAUAACAUUAUUAUAGAUGUUAUGUUACUUUGUAAAGUUUACUUAAUUUGUAGUUAUGUAUUUCCAUACAGUUGGUGUAUUUCGGUACUGCUGGUCAACAAGUAUUUAUAUAUAGAACUGAGAUUUGCCUUUAUACAAUUUUGUACAUUUUACAAUUAUACUUAAUAAACUUUGUUAAUUGAU
Mercenaria mercenaria is the source of this 4989-nucleotide long non-coding RNA. RefSeq lists it as uncharacterized. The transcript has 2 exons. The record is from RefSeq and is a predicted model, not a curated record. NCBI's taxonomy places the organism in Eukaryota, Metazoa, Mollusca, Bivalvia, Venerida, Veneridae.